CGUCGCGGAUCACAAUUCACAAACCGACCUAAAACGCUCGUUGAGUCGUUGACGGUCCGCUCUCGGGCUUCGUUCUAUUUCUAGUCUCUCUUCUAGGAGCACUGAUCGCAGCAUCUUAGGGUUUCCUCUCCACAUCUGGAAAGCCCUGUCACACACGGGAGGUCGCUCAUCGCUCAAUUCUCUCGAUUCUUAGGGUUUCCUCCUUUUUGCUUUUUGCUUCUUUGUCUCGCGCUUCAAUUUUUAGGGUUUGUUUUUGAACCUUGUUUUAAAUUCUUCGGAGGAUAAUAAUUUCGAGAUUCUUCGAUCAAUUUUAGUUUAUUGUUCUGCUGCUUGAUCUCUAUUGCUUUUAGAUCUUGUUUAGAGAUUAUUUUUUGAAAAUUGAAAACAGAAAGAUUGGUGAAGCUGAUUGCUUCUGUGUAAGGGCUAGGGUUUUUAUAGUUGAAUUGUUUGUGAUUGGUGUCGAGGUUUUUGCUUUAUUGAGGUGUAGUUCACUGACUUUAUGGCGGCUGAGAGACAUAGGAGUUUUCGUGAUAGCGAGUUCAGGGGCCGUGAGUCUGGUAUUGAGGUGUCGAGGAGGAAUUUUGCUCAUCCCAAGGAGGAGUAUGAUCGGAGCAGGAAUGGUGGUAAUUCUAAUAAUGAUGGACGGGCUCAAGCUCGUGGGAUAAGAGAUAAGGGAAGGCUUAGACAGAAAGAUAUCAAGGAGAGGGAUGUGAUUAACGGUGGAUACAGGUCCUCUUCAAGUAGGAGUGAUUCAGGCAGUGGUGGUGGUGGACAUUGGCCCCAGGGAUCUGGUUUUUCAGUUAGGGCUGUUGAUAGGGAGCCUGGUGAGUUGUCAAGUGAGAGUGGCUCCGAAGACGCCAUUGAAUCUGAAUCACAGAUUAAAGAUAGUGAGGCCUCUGAGACUGUUGAGAAUGGGAUUCGUGCUUCGCCUUUGGUGAAAAAAAGGAAGUUUUCACCUAUUGUUUGGGAUAGAGAUGACAGGGAAGUAAGUAAUUCAUCAAGAAGUAGAAUUAGCACAACUGUGGCAGCUCUACCUCCCUCAUCACCACUGCCCAAAGUGUAUCUUCAAUCACCUGAUGUUGUUCCUGGUGGGGGCAUACAAAUAUCUCCAAUUGAGGAUAGUAAAACCAAUGAUUUGCAAUUGUCUUCACCAGUAGAGCCUUCUGUGGCAGCUCUACCUCCCUUACCACCACUGCCCAAGUUGUACCUUCAAUCACCUAAUGUUGUUCCUGGUGGGGGCAUACAAAUAUCUCCAAUUGAGGAUGGUAAAACCAAUGGUUUGCAAUUGUCUUCACCAGUAGAGCCUUCUGUGGCUUCUAAGGGUGCACGAGAUUCUCCAUUUGAAUCCCCUUUGGGUUUGUCAUCUUCGACAGUAAAGGAGCUGCAGUGGGGAAUAUAUCAGGAAGCAGAGCAGCUUGAUGAUGAUUAUGUGCCAACCUGGAAUAUUUCAUCUUCUAGAUGGGCAGCUGGAAACAAUUCUCCGGUGGAUGAAGGUGAAAUCGUAGAAGAGGAAAUGCCAAGAAGAAAGAAGAAAAUGAUGCAUAUAGAGUCCUUGGAUGCUGAAGUACGGAAUAAAUCUAAAACUCCCGAGGCAGGAGAGCCACAGAGAGAAGGCUCUGAAGGAGCUAGGGCGAGGUCAUCUGAAUCUGAUGAACGAGGUGUACGUACUAGGUCUUUCAGUGGGGAUGAUUACACUGGUACUGAUUCAGAGAAAGAUUACAUGGACAUUGAUGAGGAACGCAAUAACAAUAAUAAUAGUCUUAGCCGGUCAGAUACAGAUACCGAGGAAGAAGAUGAUUCUCAUGCAACUCCAGAGCCUCUUGCUCCUCCCCAGAGAAGUAUAAACAUGCUUCAGGGUUGUAGAAGUGUCGACGAGUUUGAAAGACUAAAUAAGAUAGAUGAAGGAACGUAUGGUGUUGUAUAUAGAGCGAGAGAUAAGAAGACUGGAGAAAUUGUAGCCUUGAAAAAGGUGAAGAUGGAGAAAGAAAGAGAAGGUUUUCCAUUAACUUCUUUGAGGGAAAUAAACAUUCUCCUUUCCUUCCAUCAUCCAUCAAUCGUGGAUGUUAAAGAAGUUGUUGUAGGGAGUAGCCUAGAUAGUAUUUUUAUGGUGAUGGAGUAUAUGGAACAUGAUCUGAAAGGACUCAUGGAAUCAAUGAAGCAGCCAUUUAGCCAGAGUGAGGUUAAAUGCCUUAUGCUUCAGCUCUUGGAAGGUGUGAAAUAUCUACAUGAUAACUGGGUUCUUCAUCGAGAUAUGAAGACGUCAAAUCUGCUUUUAAACAAUCGGGGUGAGUUGAAGAUUUGUGAUUUUGGGUUGGCUCGUCAGUAUGGCAGUCCGUUGAAACCUUACACACAUCUUGUGGUUACUCUUUGGUACAGGGCGCCUGAACUCUUGCUGGGAGCGAAACAAUAUUCAACGGCAAUUGAUAUGUGGUCACUUGGUUGUAUUAUGGCUGAAUUAUUGGCCAAGGAACCAUUGUUCAAUGGGAAAACAGAAUUUGAUCAACUUGACAAGAUUUUCCGAACCCUUGGGACCCCAAAUGAAACAAUUUGGCCUGGGUUUUCCAGGCUGCCAGGAGUCAAGGUCAAUUUCGUCAAACAGCAGUAUAAUAUGCUGCGUAAGAAAUUCCCUGCGACCUCUUUCACUGGAUCCCCAGUUUUAUCUGAUGCAGGAUUUGACUUGUUGAACAAACUUCUAACUUAUGAUCCUGAGAAGCGGAUAACUGCCAAAGCUGCUCUUGACCAUGAGUGGUUUAAAGAAGUUCCUCUUCCAAAGUCUAAAGAUUUUAUGCCGACAUUUCCCGCUCAACAUGCUCAAGACAGGCGCCUGCGGAGAAUAAUGAAGAGUCCUGAUCCUUUGGAAGAGCAACGGAAAAGGGAGUUGCAGCAAGGGGAUUUAGGGGCUAGUGGUUUGUUUGGCUAAGCCUUACUGGCAGCGGCCUUUCCUCCAUGCUUUAGUUUUCAGUGUUCCUGACAAAUGGACUUGGCUGAGGUGAGAGGCAUACAUUGAAAGGAAGUUGCCAGUAUUCUUUAUCAGAAGAUCAUUCACGCUGUUUUUCAAGUGAUGAUCUGGGUGGAUUAUCUAUUUGCCACAUCCUGUCAAACCAGUACAUGUUAACUUUGUUGUGGCAACGACCUUUCCUUCAUGCUUUAGUUUUCACUGUUUCUGACAAAUGGACAUGGCUGAGGUGAGAGGCAUGCAUUGAAAGGAAGUUGCCAGUAUUCUUUAUCAGACAAUCAUUCACGCUGUUUUUUAGCAGGACAAGUGAUGAUAUGGGUGGAAUAUCUUUUGCCGCAUCCUGUCAAACCAGUGCAGGUUAACUUUGUUCAGCUUAGAAAAUCGACUGUGACGCUGCUUGCAUUGCAAGAGACAUUUGGUGUGAAGUGGAGAAGACGUUCUUAGCUUUUCACUGAUGAAGAAUUUGAGAGUAACCAAUAUACUUCCGAGUAUCAAAGCAAGCAGGUUGAGGAGGCUCCCUGCAUACUGUGGAUUUUAUAGAACUUCCAAUUAGAUGUUCUCCAGGCUCGCUAGAGGGUUUUUGGUUGUGUUUCACAUUGAGAAUGUUGAGAAAUCAGCUUGUUAAGUACUUGGAAUGACUGCCAUAGAACAAAGAUAUAUAUUUUUUCAUGUAAAAAGAUGAUAGAUUGCGAAAACGUUACCUUGCAUUUGUUAGUUUAACUGGGAUGUUUAAAACUUCAACUAAUUAAUUAUUUAGUGGGAUAUAUGUAUUUUCAGGGACUCAUAAUUAUUAAGAAGUGGGAUUCGAGAUGAGAAAUAAAGAAUAGAAAAGUUAGUCAACUUAGGCCGAAUUCACUGGUCAAUUAUCUUCAAGAAUACUAGAAAAGGUUAUCAUGAAGAAUGUUGUAGAUGUAGAUGACAUGCAAUAGCUUUCUUACAGUUUUAGUUUUUUACUGAGUAACUUAUUUAGGUAUCAUUGGAAUUUGAUGAUACAUGGCAUUCAUUGUGAAAAAAUGCGUGAUUCUUUUAUGGGCAAUGAGGCAUCUGGAACGAUAAUUCAUGAAAGCAAACUUGGGGGAUAAUUCUUUUUUGUUACGGAUUUAGUCCAUAUCAGUAUAAUAUCUUGGUUGUGCCGAAAUAGCACGUGCACCUUUUGUUGUUAAACACUCGCCCCCCACCAACCCCUGGCAUCUCCCUAGAUGAAACCCUCCAACAGUCUAACCCCUCACCAGUAUAGUUAAAAUAGGUGGAGGUGAUUAAUUGAGCUUGUUUAGUUCAUUUCGCAUCUAGUUUGGGUAAUUUUACUAAUUUGAAAGGAUAUACUCAUUUGAGAUUGGUGGUCAAAAGUGAUAAAUGGGUUUUCAUCAGUUCUUUAUGUUUAUGAUUAGUUUCUUUUCCCAUCUUGUUUUUAUAUUAAGAAGUUCUUUGUUUUAUUUUUGAGCACAUGUUCUGGAUGUUGCAGUUUGGUCAGUUCCAUUUAAUAUAAACUGUGUUGUUGCAAUUUAUUUUCCUUGGAAAGUUGUUAAGUUGGUAGUUGCAGUGAGGUGUUCUUUUUUGUGUUCUAGCAUUAACUGGCUUGCAAAUAUAUUACUGUCAUCGAUUCUAUCUCUUUGAAAUGAAUUUUGCUUUCUUUUUUCCUUCCCUCACUAUCCUCUCUUUCAUGGAGAACCACCACUUUUUUGGCUUUCUGUCCUGCAUAGAUGGGUCAUGUCUGCCAUUAACUGGCUAUGGCCUUUAAUGACUUCACCAAAAAAAAUUGAAAUUGUUGAGAUUUCUUUUUGAAACAAUCCUCUUUCUGUUGUAUUGCAGCUGGUCUUGGAGGUAUACGCUGUCCUUUUUCUUAAUGUGUUCAUGCAUUGUUGCAAAUGUUUGGCAACUGUUAUAUAGUUGGCUUGGCUUAAGGAAAGCUUCUUUUCCCUUUUGAUGAAAAACUAUGAACGAAAUAGGGUACUUGGAUGAUAUUUGAUGUACAAGAGUGUUUUGUCAAAGAGGAACUGGGGGAAAAAGGUGAAAUGCCAUAUGAUCAUGGGCUUUUUCUGAGUAGAUCAUUAUUAGUGGGAUAGGAGGGCAAGCCUUAAUUAGAAUGAUUUACUUAGAGAGCUAUCUAUAUGUAGUUGUGGCUACCGGCCCUUCUACUAGGAACUUUUCUACUAACAGUCAGGUGGUUUGGUUGGCGUAUGCUUCUAGCUGAGCUGAGCCUAAAUAAACAAGACAUGUAUUUGAAUAUCCUUUAGCACAUUGAAACAUGAUGCAUUUCGAUAUGUUGGCAUGCCAAUCUUUUUUCUCCGUGUUUCUCAGAGGGUAAGUUGAAUUUUCAAUAUUUUGUAAAUUUUAAUGCGUAUUUCAAUUUUUUUUAAUAUAUUAUUCAAACAAGUAUCUUUGGAUUCGAUUCGUGUUUCUUAAAAUCAUUGAGUUAAUGUGUUGGGAGCAAAAAUGUUGGGGGUUUCAAGUUUCAACCGGAGGGAGUGAAGGCGUGCAUUAGUUGUUGGAGCAAAGUUGUCGGUGUAAGCUUGUAAAUGUGGUGUUUUGGGCCGGAGGUGGAGCUGUGGAGGAGCCUCGUUAGUGGGCAAUGUACCCAUGCGGGUUUGCUAGGAAGUAUCGGUGUAUUUUUAUCCAUUUGCAUUUCUGUUUUGGGCCUGGAAGCCCAGCAGAUAGGAAGCUUGCCGUAUUUGUAUUUGUAUCCAGUGGCACACUUCAGUUAAGAGCCGGAGCGCAGCAAUGGGGAGUGUUCCUUAUUUGUAUUUGAAUCCAGUUGCAUUUCAGUUUUGAGCCUGAAAGCGGGAAUGGGAAGCGUUCCAUCUGCUUUAGUA
This is an RNA transcript of Tripterygium wilfordii, 5766 nucleotides long. It is a transcript of the gene named cyclin-dependent kinase G-2-like, with no coding region annotated. The record is from RefSeq and is a predicted model, not a curated record. NCBI's taxonomy places the organism in Eukaryota, Viridiplantae, Streptophyta, Magnoliopsida, Celastrales, Celastraceae. The transcript has 9 exons.